This 912-nucleotide ribosomal RNA is filed under the name uncultured bacterium. RNAcentral describes it as "bacterial SSU rRNA". It matches the Rfam family "Bacterial small subunit ribosomal RNA", at positions 8 to 896 of the family's 1533-position model. The record is from RNAcentral.
AGAGUUUGAUCAUGGCUCAGAACGAACGCUGGCGGCGUGGAUAAGACAUGCAAGUCGAGCGAGAUUUUUUCUUGUAGCAAUACAGGGAAAAGUCUAGCGGCGAACGGGUGCUUAACACGUGGGCAACCUGCCGAGAAGUGGGGGACAGCUCGCCGAAAGGCGGAUUAAUACCGCAUGUGAUUAGAGAGGACAUCCUUUCGAAAUUAAAGUCGGGGCAACCUGACGCUUUUUGUGGGGCCCGCGGCCUAUCAGCUAGUUGGUGAGGUAACGGCUCACCAAGGCUUUGACGGGUAGCUGGUCUGAGAGGACGACCAGCCACACUGGGACUGAGACACGGCCCAGACACCUACGGGUGGCAGCAGUCGAGAAUUUUUCUCAAUGGGGGAAACCCUGAAGGAGCGACGCCGCGUGGAGGAUGAAGGUCUUCGGAUUGUAAACUCCUGUCAUUGGGGAACAAGGUGCAUACGUUAACUGCGUGUGCAUUGAUAGUACCCGAAGAGGAAGAGACGGCUAACUCUGUGCCAGCAGCCGCGGUAAUACAGAGGUCUCAAGCGUUGUUCGGAUUCAUUGGGCGUAAAGGGUGCGUAGGCGGCGCGGUAAGUCGGGUGUGAAAUCUUGGAGCUUAACUCCGAAACUGCAUUCGAUACUGCCGUGCUUGAGGACUGGAGAGGAGACUGGAAUUUACGGUGUAGCGGUGAAAUGCGUAGAUAUCGUAAGGAAGACCAGUGGCGAAGGCGGGUCUCUGGACAGUUCCUGACGCUGAGGCACGAAAGUCAGGGGAGCAAACGGGAUUAGAUACCCCGGUAGUCCUGACAGUAAACGGUGCACGUUUGGUGUGGGAGGGUUCGACCCCUUCUGCGCCGGAGCUAACGCGUUAAACGUGCCGCCUGGGGGAGUACGGUCGCAAGAUUA